GAUGAACGCUGGCGGUAUGCUUAACACAUGCAAGUCGAACGGUCUCUUCGGAGAUAGUGGCGGACGGGUGAGUAACGCGUGAGAAUCUGGCUCUAGGUCUGGGACAACCACUGGAAACGGUGGCUAAUACCGGGUGUGCCGAAAGGUGAAAGGUAAACUGCCUGGAGAUGAGCUCGCGUCUGAUUAGCUAGUUGGUAGGGUAAAAGCUUACCAAGGCGACGAUCAGUAGCUGGUCUGAGAGGACGAUCAGCCACACUGGGACUGAGACAC
RNAcentral lists this ribosomal RNA (270 nucleotides) under Rhizonema sp. 'cyanobiont of Dictyonema sp.'. Its description in RNAcentral is "partial 16S ribosomal RNA". It matches the Rfam family "Bacterial small subunit ribosomal RNA", at positions 28 to 327 of the family's 1533-position model. Lineage: Bacteria; Bacillati; Cyanobacteriota; Cyanophyceae; Nostocales; Rhizonemataceae. The record is from RNAcentral.